Molecule: ribosomal RNA, 938 nt
Filed under: marine metagenome
Description: bacterial SSU rRNA
Rfam family: Archaeal small subunit ribosomal RNA
Source: RNAcentral
CCUAAAGCGUUCGUAGCCGGUUUGGUAAAUUCUUGGGUAAAUCGUACCGCUUAACGGUGCGGAUUCCGGGGACACUACCAGACUUGAGACCGGGGGAGAUCAGAGGUACUUGCGGGGGAGCGGUGAAAUGUUGUAAUCCCGCAGGGACCACCAGUGGCGAAGGCGUCUGAUCAGAACGGCUCUGACGGUGAGGAACGAAACCCUGGGGCGCAAACGGGAUUAGAUACCCCGGUAGUCCAGGGCGUAAACGCUGCUGACUUGGUGUUGGGGAUCCUACGAGGAUGUCCAGUGCUGGCGCGAAGGUAUUAAGUCAGCCGCCUGGGGAGUACGGUCGCAAGACUGAAACUUAAAGGAAUUGGCGGGGGAGCACUGCAACGUGUGGAGCGUGCGGUUUAAUUGGAUUCAACGCCGGAAAACUCACCGGGGGCGACGGUUACAUGAAGGCCAAGCUGAUGACUUUGCCUGAUUUUCCGAGAGGUGGUGCAUGGCCGCCGUCAGUUCGUACCGUAAGGCGUUCUGUUAAGUCAGAUAACGAACGAGACCUCCGUCACCAUUUGCUAUUCCUCUCUCCGGAGGGGGAGCACUAUGGUGGUACCGCCACUGUUAAAGUGGAGGAAGGAGGGGGCAACGGUAGGUCAGUAUGCCCCGAAUCUCCCGGGCUACACGCGCGCUACAAAGGGCAGGACAAUGGGCUUCGACACCGAAAGGUGGAGGCAAUCCCGAAACCUGCUCGUAAUUCGGAUUGAGGGCUGCAAUUCGCCCUCAUGAAGCUGGAAUACGUAGUAAUCGCGGGUCAACAUCCCGCGGUGAAUAUGCCCCUGCUCCUUGCACACACCGCCCGUCAAACCACCUUAGUUGGGUCUGGACGAGGGUUUGUCUUCUGACACGCUCGAAUCUGGGUUCAGCGAGGAGGGUUAAGUCGUAACAAGGUAUCCGUA